Molecule: ribosomal RNA, 254 nt
Filed under: uncultured bacterium
Lineage: Bacteria
Description: partial 16S ribosomal RNA
Rfam family: Bacterial small subunit ribosomal RNA
Source: RNAcentral
GACGAACCGUGCGAACGUUAUUCGGAAUCACUGGGCUUAAAGGGCGCGUAGGCGGGCGGCCAAGUCAGGGGUGAAAGCCCCCAGCUCAACUGGGGAAGUGCCUUUGAUACUGGUUGUCUCGAGGGAGGUAGGGGCGUGCGGAACUUCCGGUGGAGCGGUGAAAUGCGUAGAUAUCGGAAGGAACGCCGGUGGCGAAAGCGGCGCGCUGGACCUCUUCUGACGCUGAGGCGCGAAAGCUAGGGGAGCAAACGGGG